CCUACGGGUGGCUGCAGUGAGGAAUAUUGGUCAAUGGGCGAGAGCCUGAACCAGCCAAGUCGCGUGAGGGAGUACUGCCCUAUGGGUUGUAAACCUCUUUUGUCGGGGAGCAAAAGCCGGACGUGUCCGGCUGUGAGAGUACCCGAAGAAAAAGCAUCGGCUAACUCCGUGCCAGCAGCCGCGGUAAUACGGAGGAUGCGAGCGUUAUCCGGAUUUAUUGGGUUUAAAGGGGGCGCAGGCGGAUUUUUAAGUCAGCGGUAAAAUCGUGGGGCUCAACCCCAUCCAGCCGUUGAAACUGGAAGACUUGAGUGUGUUUGAGGUAGGCGGAAUGCGUGGUGUAGCGGUGAAAUGCAUAGAUAUCACGCAGAACUCCGAUUGCGAAGGCAGCUUACUAAGCCAUAACUGACACUGAAGCACGAAAGCGUGGGGAUCAAACAGGAUUAGAUACCCCAGUAGUC
Molecule: ribosomal RNA, 458 nt
Filed under: uncultured bacterium
Lineage: Bacteria
Description: partial 16S ribosomal RNA
Rfam family: Bacterial small subunit ribosomal RNA
Source: RNAcentral